This 285-nucleotide long non-coding RNA is filed under the name Homo sapiens (human). RNAcentral describes it as "non-protein coding lnc-ZBTB10-4:1". The record is from RNAcentral. Lineage: Eukaryota; Metazoa; Chordata; Mammalia; Primates; Hominidae.
CAGAGUUGCAUGCUGAGAAUUUGAAAAAUGAAAAUGAUGCAGACACUGGGCUAUUAUGACUGGUCUAGACUUUGCUUAUAAUAUCCCUAACCGCUGGAUUCUCCUGUGGCAGCUUUUCUUGGACAGUGACUUACUUCGAUUCUUUUGAACCAGGAAUGUGUCCUCCUGCUCCUUGUUCACCUGCCAGGUUCGAGAAACUGACUGGACACUCUUUCCAUAUGGGCUAUAGCAUGGCGAUUUUUAAUGGCAUCAUAGCUGCUCUUACUGUAGUGUGGUGCCUCAUGU